RNAcentral lists this ribosomal RNA (578 nucleotides) under uncultured bacterium. Its description in RNAcentral is "bacterial SSU rRNA". It matches the Rfam family "Bacterial small subunit ribosomal RNA", at positions 102 to 683 of the family's 1533-position model. The record is from RNAcentral.
ACGGGUGAGGAACACGUAGGAAUCUACCCUCAAGCGGGGGACAACCAAGGGAAACUUUGGCUAAUACCGCAUAAUCUCGAGAGAGCAAAGCUGCAGCAAUGUGGCACUUGAGGAGGAGCCUGCGUCCGAUUAGCUAGUUGGUAGGGUAAAAGCCUACCAAGGCGAUGAUCGGUAACUGGUCUGAGAGGACGACCAGUCACACUGGGACUGAGACACGGCCCAGACUCCUACGGGAGGCAGCAGUGGGGAAUAUUGGACAAUGGGGGCAACCCUGAUCCAGCGAUGCCGCGUGAGUGAAGAAGGCCUUCGGGUCGUAAAGCUCUUUAGGUUGGGAAGAAGGUUGCGGGAGGAAAUGCCCGUAAUUUGACGGUACCGACAGAAUAAGCACCGGCAAACUCUGUGCCAGCAGCCGCGGUAAUACAGAGGGUGCGAGCGUUAAUCGGAGUUACUGGGCGUAAAGGGCGCGUAGGCGGUCGAGUGUGUGUGAUGUGAAAGCCCCGGGCUUAACCUGGGAAGUGCAUCGCAAACUACUUAACUUGAGUAUAUGAGAGGGUGGCGGAAUUUCCGGUGUAGCGGUG